GUGGGGAAUCUUAGACAAUGGGCGCAAGCCUGAUCUAGCCAUGCCGCGUGAGCGAUGAAGGCCUUAGGGUUGUAAAGCUCUUUCAGCUGGGAAGAUAAUGACGGUACCAGCAGAAGAAGCCCCGGCUAACUCCGUGCCAGCAGCCGCGGUAAUACGGAGGGGGCUAGCGUUGUUCGGAAUUACUGGGCGUAAAGCGCACGUAGGCGGAUCAGAAAGUCAGAGGUGAAAUCCCAGGGCUCAACCUUGGAACUGCCUUUGAAACUCCUGAUCUUGAGGUCGAGAGAGGUGAGUGGAACUCCGAGUGUAGAGGUGAAAUUCGUAGAUAUUCGGAAGAACACCAGUGGCGAAGGCGACUCACUGGCCCAAUACUGACGCUGAGGCGCGAAAGCGUGGGGAGCAAACAGGAUUAGAAACCCGAGUAGUCC
This 425-nucleotide ribosomal RNA is filed under the name uncultured bacterium. RNAcentral describes it as "partial 16S ribosomal RNA". It matches the Rfam family "Bacterial small subunit ribosomal RNA", at positions 354 to 796 of the family's 1533-position model. The record is from RNAcentral.